Molecule: long non-coding RNA, 1016 nt
Organism: Melanotaenia boesemani (Boeseman's rainbowfish)
Lineage: Eukaryota; Metazoa; Chordata; Actinopteri; Atheriniformes; Melanotaeniidae
Exons: 3
Source: RefSeq, a predicted model, not a curated record
UCCACACAUGUUAAAAAGCUAGUUCUCAAUCUUAAUUUUUCACAAGUGGCUGUGUUCGGUGGAUGAUAAGCCUGGCCUAAACAAGAUGAUGCUGGAUAUGCUAGCAAGAAGAUGCAAAACAGACCAGACCACAUAUGGAUGUGUCGCACUCAUGCUGGAUGCCAUGGCCAUCAGAAAACAUGUGCAAUAUCCCCAAAAAAAGCCAAUCAAUGUCUGGAUUUGUGGACAUGGGUGAUGGAAGCAGUGAGACUGAUGUUGCUACUGAGGCCCUUGUGUUCAUGGUGGUUGGCCUACAAGGACAUUGGGAGGCUCCUAUUGCUUAUUAUCUCACUCAGUCUCUGUCUCCAGACACACAAAUGGUCCUCCUCAGUCAUGCUUUGGAGGAGCUGCAUGCACGGGGCAUCUGGGUUGUUUGUGUCACUAUGGAUGGGUAUGCCUCCAAUGUGAGCAUGUGCAACCAGCUUGGAUGUGAGCUGAAAAGAGACCCACAAAAGCCGCUUCAAACCAGUUUCCCGCACCCAGUGACUGGCAAGAAAGUGUUUGUGAUGAUGGAUGCUUGCCACAUGCUCAAGUUGGCCUGUAACAUGUUGCAGCCAUACAGUCCAAUAGCAACAACCACAGACAGAUCAGUUAGAGGUACAUCAAUCAUCUCAAUGAUGUCCAAAAGAAAGAUGGACUGCAUGCUGCUAAUAAAAUCACAGACAAACAUGUCUACUUUAAGAACCACAAGAUGAGGGUGUCCCUGGCUGCACAGACACUGAGCUGCUCUGUAUCAGUGGCUCUCCGUGCAAUGAGGGAUCUUGGGUAAUCUCAGUUUAAAGACUGUGAGGCAACGGCAGAAUUCGUUGAGAUGAUCGACAGGCUGUUUGACCUAAUGAAUGGGUGCAAUCCUAGUGCAAAAGGAUUCAAAGCUCCCUUCGGUGCUCUAAAUUGGGUGGAGCGAAAAGCAUUUUUGUCAAGAGCCAGGGAGUACCUGCUCACCCCUUCACAGAUCCAAGAGGUCUAAUAGAAUAUCG